This 75-nucleotide transfer RNA is filed under the name Streptomyces phage Coruscant. Its description in RNAcentral is "tRNA-Asp". It matches the Rfam family "tRNA". From Rfam's summary of the family: Transfer RNA (tRNA) molecules are approximately 80 nucleotides in length. Their secondary structure includes four short double-helical elements and three loops (D, anti-codon, and T loops). Lineage: Duplodnaviria; Heunggongvirae; Uroviricota; Caudoviricetes; Stanwilliamsviridae. The record is from RNAcentral.
GCCCCGUGGGACUGCUGGGUGGUCACUUGUUUGUCACACAAGAUAUCAGGCGGGUUCAAUUCCCGUACGGGGCGC